CAGACCUGAAAUCAGGCGAGGUUACCCGCUGAACUUAAGCAUAUUAUUAAGCGGAGGAGAAGAAAAUAACUAUGAUUCCCUUAGUAACGGCGAGUGAACCGGGAUCAGCUCAAAGUGGAAAUCAACUGCUCUUUCCGAGCUGUUGACUUGUAGCCUCGAGAGGCGUUACCAGUGGAAGCGCAGGGUUAAGUUUCUUGGGAAAGAACAUCAUAGAGGGUGAGAAUCCCGUCCUUCCCCUGCGUUUUUUGUUCCACGUACGGUACGCUUUUAUAGAGUCGCGUUCAUCGGGAUUUGAGCGCAAAAUGUGUGGUAGGUUUCACAUAAAGCUAAGUACUGGCGCGAGACCGAUAGCAAAC
This 356-nucleotide ribosomal RNA is filed under the name Toxoplasma gondii ME49. Its description in RNAcentral is "Toxoplasma gondii rRNA TGME49_459650". It matches the Rfam family "Eukaryotic large subunit ribosomal RNA", at positions 1 to 345 of the family's 3401-position model. The record is from RNAcentral. Lineage: Eukaryota; Apicomplexa; Conoidasida; Eucoccidiorida; Sarcocystidae.